Tupaia belangeri (northern tree shrew) is the source of this 129-nucleotide small nucleolar RNA. The record is from Ensembl. Lineage: Eukaryota; Metazoa; Chordata; Mammalia; Scandentia; Tupaiidae.
CCUGACCCUAGAGGUGUUACAGGUGUGGCUACUGUCACAGCUGGGUCAGGAAUGGACAGAGAGCAGAGAGGCUGUGUCUACACUCAUUCUUCUGACUCACUCACACUGAAUGGUUAGUAGCCUAAGAAA